UACGGGGGGGGCAAGCGUUGUUCGGAAUUACUGGGCGUAAAGGGCUCGUAGGUGGCAAACUAAGUCAGACGUGAAAUCCCUCGGCUUAACCGGGGAACUGCGUCUGAUACUGGAUGGCUAGAGAUUGGGAGAGGGAUGCGGAAUUCCAGGUGUAGCGGUGAAAUGCGUAGAUAUCUGGAGGAACACCGGUGGCGAGGGCGGCAUCCUGGACCAACACUGACGCUGAGGAGCGAAAGCCAGAGGAGCAAACGGG
RNAcentral lists this ribosomal RNA (253 nucleotides) under uncultured bacterium. RNAcentral's name for it is "partial 16S ribosomal RNA". It matches the Rfam family "Bacterial small subunit ribosomal RNA", at positions 524 to 776 of the family's 1533-position model. The record is from RNAcentral.